Molecule: long non-coding RNA, 525 nt
Filed under: Brassica napus (rape)
Lineage: Eukaryota; Viridiplantae; Streptophyta; Magnoliopsida; Brassicales; Brassicaceae
Description: long non-coding RNA (BNAP_LNC002753)
Source: RNAcentral
CUACGACUCGAUCUAACUUGUAACACCGUAUAUCGGUGCUACACUUAACUCGAGGGUUCCAUAACCCUCUACGACACUCUAACACAACACUCUAACCUGGGCCCUGGUGACUUCUUGUUCCUCCUCUCUAUCGGCAAUAUCCUAUCUCCCUACCACAAAGGCCAGAAGAAGGAACUUUCAACCGACCGCGGCCCACAGUCCUUCGGGUCACCGCGCGACAGCCCACAGUCAUUCGGGUCACUGCCACAUUACACCGUCGUGUAAUACUCAGCCAUAGUACAUGACACCAUUCGUCUGAGUCUUCCCGAUCCAGCGAAUAAGGGGUUUCCUUGAACCCGCUGGGUACGAGGCCGGGAAACACUAAUCACCCCUACACAAGCCUAGUAUGGGCGGGUUACGCACAUACUGUCGGCACACUCACAACACAAACUCAAUCUAGAACCUAACGUAACGAUAAAGUUCCAGAUCCUAACUAGACACUCUACUCUACAACACAAACCAAUAGUACCAGUAGUCCGGCCUAUA